AUGAACUUCGACCAGCAGUGGACCAACUGGGUGAUGCACCAGUACCACCUCGGGGACCUGGAGCAAGAGAAGGAGCGGGAUCUGGUCCUCUACAAGAUUUUCUACCAGACGAACACUAGGGAUAGGAGUAAAAAGAUUAUAAGCCCAGCCCGUGACGACAACGGGGCACAAAGAUCCAGCAGAUCGAGGGGCACAGACCCCGGCGACCGUGCCGCCCGCGCUCGGAAGCAGACGCCCAUCUCGGCGCUGCCCCUCGCCCUCCUCCCCGGAGCCCCUCUCUCCACGACGCCCCUGCCUCUGCGUCGACCUUGGCGAACGCCGCCGGCGCCGCGCCGUUCGCUACCGUCCUCCUCAUCCCGCUGCUCCACCGGACCUCCCCGAGCCCUCUGCCUAGACCCCACACUCCCGCGCCACUACCCCGACGAAGCCCGAACCACCGCCGCCUCGUUUGGUCGCCGGCGCGUCUCCGGUGACCUUUUGGUCAAGGGCCCGUGUGCGUUGUCCUCGCACGCGCGCAGAGCAUGCCCGAAGCUUUAG
This 537-nucleotide ribosomal RNA is filed under the name Triticum aestivum (bread wheat). RNAcentral describes it as "partial small subunit ribosomal RNA". Lineage: Eukaryota; Viridiplantae; Streptophyta; Magnoliopsida; Poales; Poaceae. The record is from RNAcentral.